Molecule: ribosomal RNA, 468 nt
Filed under: uncultured bacterium
Lineage: Bacteria
Description: partial 16S ribosomal RNA
Rfam family: Bacterial small subunit ribosomal RNA
Source: RNAcentral
GACGAACGCUGGCGGCGUGCUUAACACAUGCAAGUCGAACGGAAAGGCCCUGCUUUUGUGGGGUGCUCGAGUGGCGAACGGGUGAGUAACACGUGAGUAACCUGCCCUUGACUUUGGGAUAACUUCAGGAAACUGGGGCUAAUACCGGAUAGGAGCUCCUGCUGCAUGGUGGGGGUUGGAAAGUUUCGGCGGUUGGGGAUGGACUCGCGGCUUAUCAGCUUGUUGGUGGGGUAGUGGCUUACCAAGGCUUUGACGGGUAGCCGGCCUGAGAGGGUGACCGGCCACAUUGGGACUGAGAUACGGCCCAGACUCCUACGGGAGGCAGCAGUGGGGAAUAUUGCACAAUGGGCGGAAGCCUGAUGCAGCAACGCCGCGUGCGGGAUGAUGGCCUUCGGGUUGAAAACCGCUUUCGCCUGUGACGAAGCGUGAGUGACGGUAAUGGGUAAAGAAGCACCGGCUAACUACGUG